GCCCCUUAUUCUGUGAUAGUUGAAAAGCUAAUUGCACAAUUUCAACAGUUUCACGGCGCAUCCUGUACUGUUUUUGGGCACAUAUGGCUAUGAAGUCAUUCAAAUUCCAUUUAUCAUUCUGAGCAUUGUAAGCAACCUUAAACUAAUUAAACUUGUUAGGAAAGUUGUUUAAAACAUGGUAGACCAAGAAAGGCUCCACAAUGGGAAUGUUAAGAGCCUUUAGUUUAUAUGAUAUAUUUAUCAUUUUCAUGACAUGCUCUCUAACACCACUUGUACCAUCAUAUUUUAUAUUCAUUAAUUUAUCCAUAAGAUCCCUAGUUUCGGCUUUAUCAAAAUAAAAAAAUUCUCCUAUGGCAUUCAUAAAACUUUUAGCAUUUUCAUUAUCGGGGAUGACACCUAGAAUGGAAUCAGAUAUCAAUCGCUUAAUGAUUUUCAAAUAGAGUUUCUACUUUUCAUACUCGACUACAUAUUCAACCAUACUCUUAUUUAUGGAUUUCUCAAUCUUUUUCUCCAUUGCAAAAUUCAAGCCCAAAAGACCAAAUGCUAUUUCUACGUCUCAUUCCAUCUCACAUAGUUAUUCCCAGUCAAGGUUUCAAUAGUACUCUUUCCCACAUUUCAUCAUCGACUACAUAUUCAACAGUACUCUUAUUUGUUGGUUUCUCAAGCUUUUUCUACAUUGCAAAAUCAAGCCCAAAAGAUCAAGUACUAUUUUUACGUCUCGUUUUCAUUUCACAUAGUUAUUUACAAUCAAUGUUUCAAUAGCAGACAAUUGAUUCGAAAGAGAUGAGGCAUUAUAAACCGUAGAAACAUAAAAUAUCACACUCAAUAUCAUCCAAAU
RNAcentral lists this long non-coding RNA (838 nucleotides) under Olea europaea subsp. europaea. The record is from RNAcentral. Lineage: Eukaryota; Viridiplantae; Streptophyta; Magnoliopsida; Lamiales; Oleaceae.